RNAcentral lists this ribosomal RNA (403 nucleotides) under uncultured bacterium. RNAcentral describes it as "bacterial SSU rRNA". It matches the Rfam family "Bacterial small subunit ribosomal RNA", at positions 355 to 774 of the family's 1533-position model. The record is from RNAcentral.
UGGGGAAUAUUGCGCAAUGGGGGCAACCCUGACGCAGCAACGCCGCGUGAUUGAAGAAGGCCUUCGGGUUGUAAAGAUCUUUAAUCAGGGACGAAAAAUGACGGUACCUGAAGAAUAAGCUCCGGCUAACUACGUGCCAGCAGCCGCGGUAAUACGUAGGGAGCAAGCGUUAUCCGGAUUUACUGGGUGUAAAGGGCGCGCAGGCGGGCCGGCAAGUUGGGAGUGAAAUCCCGGGGCUUAACCCCGGAACUGCUUUCAAAACUGCUGGUCUUGAGUGAUGGAGAGGCAGGCGGAAUUCCGUGUGUAGCGGUGAAAUGCGUAGAUAUACGGAGGAACACCAGUGGCGAAGGCGGCCUGCUGGACAUUAACUGACGCUGAGGCGCGAAAGCGUGGGGAGCAAACA